AUACAAGGCUUUGGAUUUUAUACUUGCAGAUGCUGAACAUUACAAAAAAACUUGGGGCUACUCAUGUAGUUUUAUAUCUUAAAGUGAAGAGCUAAAGAGAUGGAGGACUGGAGAUGGAGUGUGCCUCUAAGAUUUUUCCAGUGACAUUUUGCCAAAUUUAAUACAACAGUUGAAUUUGACUGAAAAACUCCAGUUAUCUUCAUCUUUAGUUUUUGCCUCUUACUCCUGCAUAUAAUGUCCUGAGAGCUCAACCAACAGAGAUAAGUGCAAAAAUCAUCCAUAUAUUUCCUUAAUUUCAAAUAACUCCUCUGUGGACUGUUAUAUAAAUGUAUAUGACUCUGACUCCACUGGUAAGUAAUAACAAAUGUGACAAUAAAGGUAAGUUUCUUGGGGGAGGGUCUCUCAUUCUUUUUUUUUUUAUUAUUUUAAUCAGAGAAGUUAUGGUACUGCUAAAUUUAAAUUCUCCUGAGUCUUUCUAAAAGAUCUGUCUAUAAAAGUGUCUUUUAACUCUGUUUGUUUUCAUCAUUUUGGCCUGAAAAUUUUAUUCUUUACCUUCUUGAGAAGUCAGUAAACCACAUAUCAAACCUGUUCUUCUAUACAACAAAUCGGAAAUACCUUACAGGCUCUUCUUAGGCAGUACCUGUCAAGAUAUCAGAAGUGAAUGGCUUAGGAGAUUCAUUCACUCCCCAGAGCAGCCUGGGGCACAAGGGGAUGUGUCUGAAAUAUAAUCUGGUUUACCUGUCCUGUUGAUGCAUUAUUCCUCCAUUGUUGACUGUGUUGAGGUGACGGUGUCAAUAUAAUUUGACUGUACUGAGAAGGGCUUUUUGUUGUCACAGGACCAUGUCAGAUUGGUCAUCUUUGUUUGUAACAAACUUGCCUCUCUGCAAGCUUAUUAGUCACAAUUUGUUCCAGAAUAGACUGACAUUAAAUAAUUCUCAGUGCCAAUGGAAGAGGCAAGUACUUCUUUUAAUUCCUUCCUUCCAUCUGCCUGUCCAUCCUUCUGUCCUUCUUUCCAUCCAUCUUUCCUUUCUUCCUUCUGUUCAUCCUUCCUUCCUUCUGCAUUGUUUCUCUUAAUGUUUUCUGUUUCGGCAGUUGCCAGAGACUUCAGUGAAGUAAUGAAUUUAACCAGUAUGACUGAAGGGAGUAUAUUAUGGAUUUGUUUCUCCAGUAGCCAAUAUAACUUUUCUUGUUUUAUGAAGCCUGUAUCUCUGAAACAUUUAUUCUUCGGUAACUCCAUAGGGAUGGAGUGCCCUGUGCGUGAAAGAGCCACAUCAGCUAUCUGUUUGGAAUGGAAAAUUUCCUUGUCCUCCUGCGUUCUCUAUAUUCUGAGUUGUGGUAAUGGGGUUUACCACCUCUUGGACAUGUUACCGGUUUGCUCUUCUUGCGUCUCAAGCUGGUUGCGUCAGACUGAUCACCAAGCAAGACCAAGGGAGCAGCACAGAUGUGGAAACAAACACAAGGCAGAGAGAGGACCAGAGUGCACAGCAACUACUAAAACUUAUACUGUUGCUGAGAGAAAUGUCUGUGGACAUGCAGCCUCAGUUAAACAUUUAUGA
Molecule: long non-coding RNA, 1556 nt
Organism: Struthio camelus australis
Lineage: Eukaryota; Metazoa; Chordata; Aves; Struthioniformes; Struthionidae
Source: Ensembl